RNAcentral lists this ribosomal RNA (253 nucleotides) under uncultured bacterium. RNAcentral describes it as "partial 16S ribosomal RNA". It matches the Rfam family "Bacterial small subunit ribosomal RNA", at positions 524 to 776 of the family's 1533-position model. The record is from RNAcentral.
UACAGAGGGUGCGAGCGUUAAUCGGAAUUACUGGGCGUAAAGCGUGCGUAGACGGUUAUGUAAGUCGGGUGUGAAAGCCCCGGGCUCAACCUGGGAAUUGCAUUCGAGACUGCAUAGCUAGGAUGCGGAAGAGGGAAGCGGAAUUUCCGGUGUAGCGGUGAAAUGCGUAGAUAUCGGAAGGAACACCAGUGGCGAAAGCGGCUUCCUGGUCCAGCAUCGACGUUCAGGCACGAAAGCGUGGGGAGCAAACAGG